Molecule: ribosomal RNA, 464 nt
Filed under: uncultured bacterium
Lineage: Bacteria
Description: partial 16S ribosomal RNA
Rfam family: Bacterial small subunit ribosomal RNA
Source: RNAcentral
GACGAACGCUGGCGGCGUGCUUAACACAUGCAAGUCGAACGGAAAGGCCCCUUUGGGGGUACUCGAGUGGCGAACGGGUGCGUAACACGUGAGUAACCUGCCCUUGACUUCGGGAUAACUUCAGGAAACUGGGGCUAAUACCGGAUAGGAAUCCUUGCUGCAUGGUGGGGGUUGGAAAGCUUCGGCGGUUUUGGAUGGACUCGCGGCUUAUCAGCUUGUUGGUGGGGUAGUGGCUUACCAAGGCUUUGACGGGUAGCCGGCCUGGGAGGGCGACCGGCCACAUUGGGACUGAGAUACGGCCCAGACUCCUACGGGAGGCAGCAGUGGGGAAUAUUGCACAAUGGGCGGAAGCCUGAUGCAGCAACGCCGCGUGCGGGAUGACGGCCUUCGGGUUGUAAACCGCUUUCAGCAGGGGCGAAGCUUUUGUGACGGUACCUGCAGAAGAAGCACCGGCUAACUACGUG